This is a long non-coding RNA of Perognathus longimembris pacificus (Pacific pocket mouse), 309 nucleotides long. RefSeq lists it as uncharacterized. The transcript has 3 exons. The record is from RefSeq and is a predicted model, not a curated record. NCBI's taxonomy places the organism in Eukaryota, Metazoa, Chordata, Mammalia, Rodentia, Heteromyidae.
AACAAGAAUUAAAAUUUCAAAGAAUGUUAGCCAAAAGCAAGGCAAUAGAGCUUACGCAAGCUGACAACUGGCCAAAACAGUUGUUGACUGGUCUCUCAGACUUUAAUAUACUACUAACCACCUGGAAAUAGUAUAAAUGUAAACUCAGAUACACUAGAUUUAAGGCAAGGUGAAAGAGUGGGUGAUGAGGUUAAAUUACCAAAUUGUAAGUAUUUUCAAAACUAUAAACUAUUUCAAAAUUCAAACUGCUGUGAGUAGACACAUUUCCAAAAAACUUGCCAAAAUAUCCGUUUCUUUUUCUUUUUUUUU